RNAcentral lists this ribosomal RNA (84 nucleotides) under Vibrio parahaemolyticus SBR10290. The record is from RNAcentral. RNAcentral also lists the same sequence under 2 other names. Lineage: Bacteria; Pseudomonadati; Pseudomonadota; Gammaproteobacteria; Vibrionales; Vibrionaceae.
UCCAUUCCGAACUCAGAAGUGAAACGAAAUAGCGCCGAUGGUAGUGUGGGGUUUCCCCAUGUGAGAGUAGGACAUCGCCAGGCU